UACGUAGGGUCCGAGCGUUGUCCGGAAUUACUGGGCGUAAAGAGCUCGUAGGUGGUUUGUCGCGUUGUCCGUGAAAACUCACAGCUCAACUGUGGGCGUGCGGGCGAUACGGGCAGACUGGAGUACUGCAGGGGAGACUGGAAUUCCUGGUGUAGCGGUGGAAUGCGCAGAUAUCAGGAGGAACACCGGUGGCGAAGGCGGGUCUCUGGGCCGAUAUUGACGCUGAGGAGCGAAAGCGUGGGGAGCGAACAGG
RNAcentral lists this ribosomal RNA (253 nucleotides) under uncultured bacterium. RNAcentral describes it as "partial 16S ribosomal RNA". It matches the Rfam family "Bacterial small subunit ribosomal RNA", at positions 524 to 776 of the family's 1533-position model. The record is from RNAcentral.